Passer montanus (Eurasian tree sparrow) is the source of this 2233-nucleotide long non-coding RNA. RefSeq lists it as uncharacterized. The record is from RefSeq and is a predicted model, not a curated record. Lineage: Eukaryota; Metazoa; Chordata; Aves; Passeriformes; Passeridae. The transcript has 3 exons.
GUGGGAGAGGGAAGACAAAGGGCUGACAGGAACAAGCGAGCUGGCUUCCACGAUGGAGGAUGGUCUCCAUGGGGGUGGGGAGGGAGCAGGAGUAGCUUCCUCUAAUUCCACAGCAUCUCUGGGGGCUCCAGCCAAGGGGGUGCUGAGCCCCUGCACAGGCUGGUUUGCAGGAUGAGCCCUCUGGUGCAUACAUGCACACGUGUGUGUAGGCACGUGUGUAAGUGCACACGGGCAUGUAUGCUUGCAUGCAGCACACACAUCAGUGUGCCUGUAUUUUCAGUGUGCGCAGGCGUGUGUCGGUGCCUGUGGGCAUACUGUGAGUAUACAUGGGCAUAGCUGUAAGUGCGUGCACGCGUAUGAGUGUGCCUGGACACAGCUGUCAGCAUCUGAAUACACACGUGUGAGUGCACAUAGUCGUGUGUGACAGAACAUGGCCGUGUGUAACAAAACACAGCUGUGUAUGCACAUCUGCCUGCGUGAGCGUGUACAGAUACGGGUGUCAGUGCUUGUAAGCACGUGUGUAGCUGCAUGCAGGUGUGUACAAAUGCACAGCCACGCGUGCAUACAUGCACACACCAGUGAAUGUGCAUACAUGCACACACGCGAGAAUGCGCUCAUGCCACGCGUGUCAGUGAGUGUAUGUGAGCAACCGUGCACGUGUGCGCACCCACGCCCAGCGGCCAGAAACCCUCCACGCGUGAGCGCGCCUGGCCAAGGUCACGCGUGUGCGCGCAGCAUCUGUGUCAGCGGCGGCUGGCGGCGAGCCGGGGGGCGCGGGGCCAGGCCUUGGCCGGGGCAGCAGCGGGAGGAGGAGGAGGAGGAGAAGGAGGAGGAGGGAAGUGCGGCUCAGACAGCGCGGCGCCAGCAAACACCUGCAAACAGCUCCGGGCACACAAUGGCAAAUACAGGGUUUUCCAGGAAAGCAUCGGCAUCCCACAACAGCCAAGAUAAAUCUGCUGCAUGGGGUAAAUCUUCUCCCUGAGAGGCGUCUCGAAAGCACUGGCAUCUGACAGCCCAGUCCAGGGAGCCAGUGGGGUCUGAACAAGGCUUGUGCCAGAGUCUGGGAAUGUCGGGGUGGCUGUUCCAGGCAAGGCGCCGGGAUCCAUCCACUACGGGGGAGGAGGUUACGGCCCUGGGAGGCUCCUCGGGAGCUAGAGCCGAACCUAGACCCUGCCGAGCCCUGACAAUCCCCUGCCCUGAUCCCUGAGAGGGGACAGGGGCAGGGGCCACCUCCACUCCCCGGGAGCUGCAGUCCCCCUUAACCUCCCCAGUGUCGUUUCCAUCCAAAAAGCCCCAGCAGCACAGGUUUCUCCCACCCCAUCAGUGCCUAGCCCUACUUCUCCAAGUAACCCCAGCCCCAAAGUAGACUCAUUAAUGCUCCCACGAGUGCAGGAUUUCCACCACCAUAAUCUCUGAUGAGGGACCCAUUAGGAUCUGGGAUGGAAUACUCACACUGCAAGAAGCUCCACCUUCCAGGUACGAGAUUCAUCCCUGUCCCCUGGCUCAUGCCAAGGAUGCUUUUCCCACUUAAAUCCCUUUGGCACAUCGGCACUGGCACAGCUGGAGGACCAUGACACUGGGGUGAAUGUGGGGACAUUCACCCCUAACCCACCCUUUGCCUUUUCCUCCAGAGCCAAAAGCCAGUGGACAUGGCAAAAGCUUAUUUUUAGCUGUGAGCAUAACAGCAGCUCUGUUCCCAGAUGCAGUGGUUUCUGGAUGGACACCUUCACUUGCCUCUCUCCAUGCCCAGGCAGCCCAUGUCAUGGCAUCCUACCUCCCAGAGGUGCCAGAGGAUACUCUGACCUGGCCUGGGGAGCCUGGGGACAUCAAGCUGGGAGGAGGGAGGAAAGUUCCCAGGGGCUGGUGAUCCAGUUGGACCAGGUGGUGCUUUUUGGAAGCUCCAUGUGCUGCUUUUCUCUAUGGUAAUGCCCGUGGAGCGUUUGGCAGGUGCCAGCUGCACCUCAAGCUCCUGUUCUCUGUCAUUGGGAUAGAGGCUGAAGCCAGUGUGUGUGGGUGAAGCUUUGCAUCACUCUGUGCUCCGAAACCCUCGUGUCUUCUCUGUCCUCUGCUUCCCAUGAUGCAGCCCUUAGCCCAGCACCCCUGGAUGCUGGAGCACCCUGGGGACACCCCAAUGCCAUGGGGCAGGAUCCACAUCAUGCCUGGCUAAGCCCACGGCAGCAAAACCAGAGCCCAGCACAGGGAAUAAAGAUGAUGGUGCUACAGGUGGGGGUGA